RNAcentral lists this ribosomal RNA (497 nucleotides) under uncultured bacterium. RNAcentral describes it as "partial 16S ribosomal RNA". It matches the Rfam family "Bacterial small subunit ribosomal RNA", at positions 28 to 507 of the family's 1533-position model. The record is from RNAcentral.
GAUGAACGCUGGCGGCGUGCUUAAUACAUGCAAGUCGAGCGAACAGACGAGGAGCUUGCUCCUCUGACGUUAGCGGCGGACGGGUGAGUAACACGUGGAUAACCUACCUAUAAGACUGGGAUAACUUCGGGAAACCGGAGCUAAUACCGGAUAAUAUAUUGAACCGUAUGGUUCAAUAGUGAAAGACGGUUUUGCUGUCACUUAUAGAUGGUUCUGCGCUGCAGUAGCUAGUUGGUAAGGUAACGGCUUACCAAGGCAACGAUGCGUAGCCGACCUGAGAGGGUGAUCGGCCACACUAGAGCUGGACCACGCUCCAGGCUCCUACGGGAGGCAGCAGUCGGGUAUGUUACGCAGUAGGCGGGAGCCUGACGGAGCGACGCCGCGUGAGAGAUAAAGGUCUUCGGAUCGUAAUGCUCUGUUAUUAGGGAGGAACAGAUGUGUAAGUAGCUGUGCACGUCUUGACGGUACCUAGUCAGGAAGCCACGGCUAACUACGUG